GAUGAACGCUGGUGGCGUGCCUAAUACAUGCGAGUCGAGCGAACGGACGAGAAGCUUGCUUCUCUGAUGUUAGCGGCGGACGGGUGAGUAACACGUGGAUAACCUACCUAUAAGACUGGGAUAACUUCGGGAAACCGGAGCUAAUACCGGAUGAUAUUUUGAACCGCAUGGUUCAAAAGUGAAAGACGGUCUUGCUGUCACUUAUAGAUGGAUCCGCGCUGCAUUAGCUAGUUGGUAAGGUAACGGCUUACCAAGGCAACGAUGCAUAGCCGACCUGAGAGGGUGAUCGGCCACACUGGAACUGAGACACGGUCCAGACUCCUACGGGAGGCAGCAGUAGGGAAUCUUCCGCAAUGGGCGAAAGCCUGACGGAGCAACGCCGCGUGAGUGAUGAAGGUCUUCGGAUCGUAAAACUCUGUUAUUAGGGAAGAACAUAUGUGUAAGUAACUGUGCACAUCUUGACGGUACCUAAUCAGAAAGCCACGGCUAACUACGUG
This 497-nucleotide ribosomal RNA is filed under the name uncultured bacterium. RNAcentral describes it as "partial 16S ribosomal RNA". It matches the Rfam family "Bacterial small subunit ribosomal RNA", at positions 28 to 507 of the family's 1533-position model. The record is from RNAcentral.